AUUGAACGCUGGCGGCAUGCCUUACACAUGCAAGUCGAACGGCAGCGCGGACUUCGGUCUGGCGGCGAGUGGCGAACGGGUGAGUAAUACAUCGGAACGUACCCUGUUGUGGGGGAUAACUAGUCGAAAGAUUAGCUAAUACCGCAUACGACCUGAGGGUGAAAGUGGGGGACCGCAAGGCCUCACGCAGCAGGAACGGCCGAUGUCGGAUUAGCUAGUUGGUGGGGUAAAGGCCCACCAAGGCGACGAUCAGUAGCUGGUCUGAGAGGACGAUCAGCCACACUGGGACUGAGACACGGCCCAGACUCCUACGGGAGGCAGCAGUGGGGAAUUUUGGACAAUGGGGGCAACCCUGAUCCAGCAAUGCCGCGUGUGUGAAGAAGGCCUUCGGGUUGUAAAGCACUUUUGUCCGGAAAGAAAUCGCGCUGGUUAAUACCUGGCGUGGAUGACGGUACCGGAAGAAUAAGCACCGGCUAACUACGUGCCAGCAGCCGCCGUAA
RNAcentral lists this ribosomal RNA (500 nucleotides) under uncultured bacterium. RNAcentral describes it as "partial 16S ribosomal RNA". It matches the Rfam family "Bacterial small subunit ribosomal RNA", at positions 29 to 523 of the family's 1533-position model. The record is from RNAcentral.